Molecule: ribosomal RNA, 253 nt
Filed under: uncultured bacterium
Lineage: Bacteria
Description: partial 16S ribosomal RNA
Rfam family: Bacterial small subunit ribosomal RNA
Source: RNAcentral
UACGAAGGGGGCUAGCGUUGCUCGGAAUCACUGGGCGUAAAGGGUGCGUAGGCGGGUCUUUAAGUCAGGGGUGAAAUCCUGGAGCUCAACUCCAGAACUGCCUUUGAUACUGAGGAUCUUGAGUCCGGGAGAGGUGAGUGGAACUGCGAGUGUAGAGGUGGAAUUCGUAGAUAUUCGCAAGAACACCAGUGGCGAAGGCGGCUCACUGGCCCGGUACUGACGCUGAGGCACGAAAGCGUGGGGAGCAAACAGG